GACGAACGCUGGCGGCGUGCUUAACACAUGCAAGUCGAACGGAAAGGCCCUGCUUUUGUGGGGUGCUCGAGUGGCGAACGGGUGAGUAACACGUGAGUAACCUGCCCUUGACUUUGGGAUAACUUCAGGAAACUGGGGCUAAUACCGGAUAGGAGCUCCUGCUGCAUGGUGGGGGUUGGAAAGUUUCGGCGGUUGGGGAUGGACUCGCGGCUUAUCAGCUUGUUGGUGGGGUAGUGGCUUACCAAGGCUUUGACGGGUAGCCGGCCUGAGAGGGUGACCGGCCACAUGGGGACUGAGAUACGGCCCAGACCCCUACGGGAGGAAGCAGUGGGGAAUAUUGCACAAUGGGCGGAGGCAGAAUCCAGCAACGCCGCGUGAGGGAUGACGGCCUUCGGGUUGUAAACCGCUUUCGCCUGUGACGAAGCGUGAGUGACGGUAAUGGGUAAAGAAGCACCGGCUAACUACGUG
RNAcentral lists this ribosomal RNA (468 nucleotides) under uncultured bacterium. Its description in RNAcentral is "partial 16S ribosomal RNA". It matches the Rfam family "Bacterial small subunit ribosomal RNA", at positions 28 to 507 of the family's 1533-position model. The record is from RNAcentral.